This 465-nucleotide ribosomal RNA is filed under the name uncultured bacterium. RNAcentral describes it as "partial 16S ribosomal RNA". It matches the Rfam family "Bacterial small subunit ribosomal RNA", at positions 338 to 795 of the family's 1533-position model. The record is from RNAcentral.
CCUACGGGUGGCAGCAGUAGGGAAUCUUCCACAAUGGGCGCAAGCCUGAUGGAGCAAAACCGCGUGAGUGAAGAAGGGUUUCGGCUCUUAAAGCUCUGUUGUUGGAGAAGAACGUGCGUUAGAGUAACUGUUCACGCAGUGACGGUAUCCAACCAGACAGUCACGGCUAACUACGUGCCAGCAGCCGAGGUAAGACGUAGGUGGCAAGCGUUAUCCGGUUGUAUUGGGCGUAAAGGUAGGGCAGGCGGUUGAGUAGGUCUGAUGUGAAAGCCUGCGGCUUAACCGAAGAAGUGCAUCGGAAACUGGGCGACUUGAGUGCAGAAGAGGACAGUGGAACUCCAGGUGUAGCGGUGGAAUGCGUAGAUAUAUGGAAGAACACCAGUGGCGAAGGCGGCUGUCUGGUCUGCAACUGACGCUGAGGCUCGAAAGCAUGGGUAGCGAACAGGAUUAGAUACCCCAGUAGUC